AGUGAACGCUGGCGGUAGGCCUAACACAUGCAAGUCGAACGGCAGCACAGUAAGAGCUUGCUCUUACGGGUGGCGAGUGGCAGACGGGUGAGGAAUACAUCGGAAUCUACUUUUUCGUGGGGGAUAACGUAGGGAAACUUACGCUAAUACCGCAUACGACCUACGGGUGAAAGCAGGGGAUCUUCGGACCUUGCGCGAUUGAAUGAGCCGAUGUCGGAUUAGCUAGUUGGCGGGGUAAAGGCCCACCAAGGCGACGAUCCGUAGCUGGCCUGAGAGGAUGAUCAGCCACACUGGAACUGAGACACGGUCCAGACUCCUACGGGAGGCAGCAGUGGGGAAUAUUGGACAAUGGGCGCAAGCCUGAUCCAGCCAUACCGCGUGGGUGAAGAAGGCCUUCGGGUUGUAAAGCCCUUUUGUUGGGAAAGAAAAGCAGCAGGUUAAUACCCCGCUGUUCUGACGGUACCCAAAGAAUAAGCACCGGCUAACUUCGUG
Molecule: ribosomal RNA, 492 nt
Filed under: uncultured bacterium
Lineage: Bacteria
Description: partial 16S ribosomal RNA
Rfam family: Bacterial small subunit ribosomal RNA
Source: RNAcentral